This 69-nucleotide transfer RNA is filed under the name Marmota monax (woodchuck). Its description in RNAcentral is "tRNA.Ala". The record is from RNAcentral. Lineage: Eukaryota; Metazoa; Chordata; Mammalia; Rodentia; Sciuridae.
GGAAUAUAUCUCAGUUGGGAGAGUGCUUGCCUCGCAUGCACAAGGUCCUGGGUUUAAUCCUCAGCACCA